Molecule: ribosomal RNA, 497 nt
Filed under: uncultured bacterium
Lineage: Bacteria
Description: partial 16S ribosomal RNA
Rfam family: Bacterial small subunit ribosomal RNA
Source: RNAcentral
GACGAACGCUGGCGGCGUGCCUAAUACAUGCAAGUAGAACGCUGAAGAGAGGAGCUUGCUCUUCUUGGAUGAGUUGCGAACGGGUGAGUAACGCGUAGGUAACCUGCCUUGUAGCGGGGGAUAACUAUUGGAAACGAUAGCUAAUACCGCAUAACAAUGGAUGACACAUGUCAUUUAUUUGUAAGGGGCAAUUGCUCCACUACAAGAUGGACCUGCGUUGUAUUAGCUAGUAGGUGAGGUAACGGCUCACCUAGGCGACGAUACAUAGCCGACCUGAGAGGGUGAUCGGCCACACUGGGACUGAGACACGGCCCAGACUCCUACGGGAGGCAGCAGUAGGGAAUCUUCGGCAAUGGGGGCGACCCUGACCGAGCAACGCCGCGUGAGUGAAGAAGGUUUUCGGAUCGUAAAGCUCUGUUGUAAGUCAAGAACGAGUGUGAGAGUGGAAAGUUCACACUGUGACGGUAGCUUACCAGAAAGGGACGGCUAACUACGUG